UUUUUUUAUUAUAAUCAUUUUAUGCAUCUAGCAAGUUACUUAGUUUAAAAAUAUUUCAUAUCAAAACCUUGCAACAUAAUUCAAUCUUUCUUUAAAUUUUGGAUUGAUUAUGACUCUGCUUAUUUUUGAAAUAAAUUAUAAAGUACUAUCUCCUAACCUAUCGUUAGUGGGAAAGUCAAAGGAACUACGAGGUCUAGUUCCAAUUUUUUAAACCCGACGCGUCCCCGGAAGUACCACUUCCCAUGAA
RNAcentral lists this long non-coding RNA (247 nucleotides) under Solanum lycopersicum (tomato). RNAcentral's name for it is "partial TCONS_00075194". The record is from RNAcentral. Lineage: Eukaryota; Viridiplantae; Streptophyta; Magnoliopsida; Solanales; Solanaceae.